Molecule: ribosomal RNA, 253 nt
Filed under: uncultured bacterium
Lineage: Bacteria
Description: partial 16S ribosomal RNA
Rfam family: Bacterial small subunit ribosomal RNA
Source: RNAcentral
UACGGGGGGAGCAAGCGUUGUUCGGAUUUACUGGGCGUAAAGGGCGCGUAGGCGGCCGAUCAAGUCAGAUGUGAAAGUCCUGGGCUUAACCUGGGGACUGCAUUUGAUACUGAUUGGCUUGAAUUCGGGAGAGGAUAGCGGAAUUCCCAGUGUAGAGGUGAAAUUCGUAGAUAUUGGGAAGAACACCGGUGGCGAAGGCGGCUAUCUGGACCGACAUUGACGCUGAGGCGCGAAAGCGUGGGGAGCAAACAGG